Molecule: ribosomal RNA, 254 nt
Filed under: uncultured bacterium
Lineage: Bacteria
Description: partial 16S ribosomal RNA
Rfam family: Bacterial small subunit ribosomal RNA
Source: RNAcentral
GACGGAGGAUGCAAGUGUUAUCCGGAAUUAUUGGGCGUAAAGCGUUUGUAGGUGGAUAUAUAAGUCCGUUGUUAAAUCCAGAGGCUUAACCUCUGUUCAGCAAUGUGAAACUAUAUAUCUUGAGGAUGGUAGGGGUAGAAGGAAUUCCUAGUGUAGCGGUGAAAUGCGUAGAUAUUAGGAAGAACACCAAAGGCGAAGGCAUUCUGCUGGGCCAAUCCUGACACUGAGAAACGAAAGCUAGGGGAGCGAAUGGG